Molecule: non-coding RNA, 686 nt
Organism: Myodes glareolus (Bank vole)
Lineage: Eukaryota; Metazoa; Chordata; Mammalia; Rodentia; Cricetidae
Source: the annotation of a RefSeq genome assembly
CCCAUUACCACCUCAGGAUCUCUGAUGACAUAUAAUGUAUGCUGUCAAGCUGAGUGGAAAACUGGCUAGCACACAAGACCAUGGUCAUGAUGUUCCAUGCACAGCUCCUCAGUCUUCUCCUCUGGAUCUCUGAUUCUAGGGAAGAAACAACUGUCACCCAGUCUCCAGCGUUCCUGUCCAUGGCCAUUGGAGAAAAAGUCACCAUCACCUGCAGAACCAGUACAGACAUUGAUGAUGAUAUGAACUGGUACCAGCAGAAGCCAGGGCAAGCUCCUAGGCUCCUUAUUUCAGAAGGCAAUACCAUUAAUUCUGGAGUCCCAUCCCGGUUCAUGAGCAAUGGCUAUGGAACAGAUUUUACCCUGAAAAUUGAUGGCAUGCAGUCAGAUGAUGUUGCAAAUUACUUCUGUCAGCAAAGUGAUAAUUUUCCUCUCACAGUGAUAUAUCCUUUUACAGAAACCUGCAGAUGUUGUCUGUCACACUGUGUCAGUUGCUGCGGAAGCUCUUCAGUGUGCAAGCUUGGCAGGCUUUCAUGUUUAUUCCCUCAAGCACUUGCAUUCUUACUUCCUUUUUCUGUUUCUCUAGUCUCCACAGUCCCCUAUUUUGUUCUUGACAUACUUCACUUGAAAGAGACCGAGAUAGCCUUUAUAUCAUUUUUCAGAAAAUCCAGUUAACCUGAUGUACUUCAG